GGCCGGUUGGCCCAAUGGCAAGGCGUCUGACUACGAUUAAACGGUAUCAGGAGAUUCUGGGUUCGACCCCCAGGCUGGUCA
This 81-nucleotide transfer RNA is filed under the name Colletotrichum cereale. RNAcentral's name for it is "tRNA-Arg". It matches the Rfam family "tRNA". From Rfam's summary of the family: Transfer RNA (tRNA) molecules are approximately 80 nucleotides in length. Their secondary structure includes four short double-helical elements and three loops (D, anti-codon, and T loops). Lineage: Eukaryota; Fungi; Ascomycota; Sordariomycetes; Glomerellales; Glomerellaceae. The record is from RNAcentral.